Molecule: RNA transcript, 2048 nt
Organism: Girardinichthys multiradiatus
Lineage: Eukaryota; Metazoa; Chordata; Actinopteri; Cyprinodontiformes; Goodeidae
Exons: 4
Source: RefSeq, a predicted model, not a curated record
AGAACAAAGUAUUAAAUGAGAAUAUUUCAUUCAUUCAGAUAUAGGAUGUUAGUUGAGUGUUCCCUUUAUUUUUUUGAGCAGUGUAUUUCACUUCAAUGCAAUUUUCUUGUUUUUUGAGAUGUAUCUGUAGAGUUAACAUCUGUGUUUUCAAGGUGGAUUUUAAAUCAAGGCCUGAUUUUCUUUUUAAUUAAUUCUAAUAGAGGAAGAAAUACUAACUUCUUCCUUCUCCUCUUUCUCUAAAUGAUUCAGAGGAGCUUUGCAGGGUUAGAUGAGGCAAGUGAAGACAGUGAAGAUGAAUAUAUUCCAGAAACCACUGGAGAAAGCACAGACAGUGAAGCCAGUGUGGAAUUAAGUCUGGAAAAAGGUCCGAAGGAUAAAACUAUGUCAUUUAGUCAAAAUAGAAGCAAGUUUUGCAGGCAGAGUAAGAGUGAGUCCAGUCAGACUAGAAACUUUGAAAGUCAUGAUUCCAGAGCCACUACAUAUAAAGAUGAAAGGGCCCCCCUGGAGGAAGAAUCUGUUUAUGUUGCUCCUGUUUUGAAGAAGGAAGAUGGAUCCAGGACCUAUAAUAAGAAACACCACUGUGUGUAUUGUGGAGUAUUUGUUCAAAAAAUGUCAAGACAUCUAUUGCGCAGACACAUGGAUAAAAUAGAGGUUGCAAAAGCCUACAGUUUGCCAAAAAACUCAAAACAAAGACGACUCCAGUUGGAUUAUUUGCGAAAUAAGGGAAACUUUGAGCACAACACUGAAGUUAUGGAAAGUAACCAAGGCAAGCUCAUUGCGUGGAAACAACCAAAGAAGAAAACAGAAGGGGAAAUAUUCAAACAUUGUUUGUACUGCUAUGGACUGUUCAAAAAAAAGGCAAUGUGGCGACAUUUCCAGUCCUGCAAAUUCAAGCCUCAAGAUAAGUCUUUGAAAAAGGGGAAAACAAGAGUUCAAGCAUUGUGUGCAUUUGCUGAACCAGUUCCACCAGAGUUCAGUGAUUCAUACUGGAGGUUUCUAAGUGAGAUGCAUCAAGAUGAGAUUACAGUUGCAUGUAAGAAGGAUCAAUGCAUACUAGAUUUUGGAUACAGAUUGUUCCACAAGAAUGAGAGGGUAGUCAGCCAGCACCAAUACAUCCGUCAAAAGCUAAGAGAGCUUGGCAGACUGCUACUUGAGGCAAGAAAUAUUGCUUCUGUGAAGAGUAUUAAAGAUCUCAUAAAGCCUGAAAAAUAUGUUACAGUUGUCGCUGCUGCAAGACGUCUAGCUGGAUUCAGUGAAGAAAGUGGCAACUAUCAACGACCAUCUCUCGCUCGAAAAGUUGGUCACGACAUGCAUUCUUUAGCCAUGUUCAUUAAGACGGAAGGACUGAAGAUGAAGGAUAAGGAAGCUGUGCAAAACGCAGAGGAGUUUGCACAACUGUAUCAAGAAAGUUGGAAAUAUGAUAUUAAGAUCCAGAAGCUUCUGAAGAGACACCUUGUAUCCCCACAUCCAGUGGCUUAAGUCAGGAAAACUUGACCAAAAAGAAAGUCACAAAUUCAGAUGGGCUGAUGCCAGAAGUCAACGAAGUGACCUCUUGUACCCCCACCUCUAGCAGCCAAAGUAACGAAAGGUCUGCCAAAAAGAGUGGUAAAGAAAAAGUUGUGAAAAGAAGCUGGACCCCAGAGGAAUGUGCUGCUGUAAAUAAACAUUUAAGGAAGUACAUAUUGACAAAUCAGGUUCCUGGUAAGCUUGACUGUGAGAGAUGCAUUGCUGCAGAACCACAAGCACUGAGUAAAAGAGACUGGAGAGCAGUUAAGUACUUUGUCAAAAACAGAAUAACCACCAUGAGGAGAAAAUAUGAGUGACAGAGCUUCCCUGAACAGAGGUAGAAACACAUGGCUGGUCCUGUUUCACCAGUUCUUUACUAUUUGUUUGUAAUUUUUAUGGACAAAGUUCAAACAAAGUAUAUUUCAGUUUAUUGAUACAUGUUCUGAGGAAGAAAUAUGGGAAAUGUUUAAAUGGCACAUUCAGUGCUAAAAUGUUGAAAUAAAACAUGUGCAGCUCAAAAUAAAGUUCCUUUAUUCAGUGGC